AUUGAACGCUGGCGGCAGGCCUAACACAUGCAAGUCGAAUGGUAGCAGGAAACAGCUUGCUGUUUCGCUGACGAGUGGCGGACGGGUGAGUAAUGUCUGGGAAACUGCCUGAUGGAGGGGGAUAACUACUGGAAACGGUAGCUAAUACCGCAUAACGUCGCAAGACCAAAGAGGGGGACCUUCGGGCCUCUUGCCAUCAGAUGUGCCCAGAUGGGAUUAGCUAGUAGGUGGGGUAACGGCUCACCUAGGCGACGAUCCCUAGCUGGUCUGAGAGGAUGACCAGCCACACUGGAACUGAGACACGGUCCAGACUCCUACGGGAGGCAGCAGUGGGGAAUAUUGCACAAUGGGCGCAAGCCUGAUGCAGCCAUGCCGCGUGUAUGAAGAAGGCCUUCGGGUUGUAAAGUACUUUCAGCGGGGAGGAAGGGAGUAAAGUUAAUACCUUUGCUCAUUGACGUUACCCGCAGAAGAAGCACCGGCUAACUCCGUG
This 490-nucleotide ribosomal RNA is filed under the name uncultured bacterium. RNAcentral's name for it is "partial 16S ribosomal RNA". It matches the Rfam family "Bacterial small subunit ribosomal RNA", at positions 30 to 507 of the family's 1533-position model. The record is from RNAcentral.